Molecule: ribosomal RNA, 2951 nt
Filed under: Acinetobacter baumannii
Lineage: Bacteria; Pseudomonadati; Pseudomonadota; Gammaproteobacteria; Moraxellales; Moraxellaceae
Description: bacterial LSU rRNA
Rfam family: Bacterial large subunit ribosomal RNA
Source: RNAcentral
GUUGUAUAGUCAAGUAAUUAAGUGCAUGUGGUGGAUGCCUUGGCAGUCAGAGGCGAUGAAAGACGUGAUAGCCUGCGAAAAGCUCCGGGGAGGCGGCAAAUAUCCUUUGAUCCGGAGAUGUCUGAAUGGGGGAACCCACCUACUUUAAGGUAGGUAUUGCAACAUGAAUACAUAGUGUUGCAAGGCGAACGAGGGGAAGUGAAACAUCUCAGUACCCUUAGGAAAAGAAAUCAAUUGAGAUUCCCUCAGUAGCGGCGAGCGAACGGGGAUCAGCCCAUUAAGUUAUGUGUGUUUUAGUGGAACGCUCUGGGAAGUGCGAACGUAGAGGGUGAUAUUCCCGUACACGAAAGGGCACACAUAAUGAUGACGAGUAGGGCGAGGCACGUGAAACCUUGUCUGAAUAUGGGGGGACCAUCCUCCAAGGCUAAAUACUCCUGACUGACCGAUAGUGAACCAGUACCGUGAGGGAAAGGCGAAAAGAACCCCUGUGAGGGGAGUGAAAUAGAUCCUGAAACCGCAUGCAUACAAGCAGUGGGAGCACCUUCGUGGUGUGACUGCGUACCUUUUGUAUAAUGGGUCAGCGACUUAUAUUCAGUAGCAAGGUUAACCGUAUAGGGGAGCCGUAGAGAAAUCGAGUCUUAAUAGGGCGUUUAGUUGCUGGGUAUAGACCCGAAACCAGGCGAUCUAUCCAUGAGCAGGUUGAAGGUUGGGUAACACUAACUGGAGGACCGAACCCACUGUCGUUGAAAAGCCAGGGGAUGACUUGUGGAUAGGGGUGAAAGGCUAAUCAAGCCUGGUGAUAGCUGGUUCUCCCCGAAAGCUAUUUAGGUAGCGCCUCGGACGAAUACCAUAGGGGGUAGAGCACUGUUUCGGCUAGGGGGUCAUCCCGACUUACCAAACCGAUGCAAACUCCGAAUACCUAUGAGUACUAUCCGGGAGACAGACUGCGGGUGCUAACGUCCGUAGUCAAGAGGAAAACAAUCCAGACCGCCAGCUAAGGCCCCAAAAUCAUAGUUAAGUGGGAAACGAUGUGGGAAGGCAUAGACAGCUAGGAGGUUGGCUUANNNNNNNNNNNNNNNNNNNNNNNNNNNNNNNGAAGCAGCCACCCUUUAAAGAAAGCGUAAUAGCUCACUAGUCGAGUCGGCCUGCGCGGAAGAUGUAACGGGGCUAAAACUAUGUGCCGAAGCUGCGGAUGUAUACUUUGUAUACGUGGUAGGGGAGCGUUCUGUAAGCCGAUGAAGGUGUGUUGAGAAGCNNAUGCUGGAGGUAUCAGAAGUGCGAAUGCUGACGUGAGUAACGACAAAACGGGUGAAAAACCCGUUCGCCGAAAGACCAAGGGUUCCAGUCCAACGUUAAUCGGGGCUGGGUGAGUCGACCCCUAAGGCGAGGCCGAAAGGCGUAGUCGAUGGGAAAAUGGUUAAUAUUCCAUUACUUCUGUGUAAUGCGAUGAGAGGACGGAGAAGGCUAAAUCAGCCUGGCGUUGGUUGUCCAGGUGAAAGGAUGUAGGCAUGUAUCUUAGGCAAAUCCGGGGUACUCUAUGCUGAGAUCUGAUAGCAAGCUGUACUUGUACAGCGAAGUGGUUGAUGCCAUGCUUCCAGGAAAAGUCUCUAAGCUUCAGUUACACAGGAAUCGUACCCGAAACCGACACAGGUGGUCAGGUCGAGUAGACCAAGGCGCUUGAGAGAACUCUGCUGAAGGAACUAGGCAAAAUGGUACCGUAACUUCGGGAGAAGGUACGCUGUUGUUGGUGAUGGAACUCGCUUCCUGAGCUGACGACAGCCGCAGAAACCAGGCCGCUGCAACUGUUUAUUAAAAACAUAGCACUCUGCAAACACGAAAGUGGACGUAUAGGGUGUGAUGCCUGCCCGGUGCUGGAAGGUUAAUUGAUGGGGUUAGCGUAAGCGAAGCUCUUGAUCGAAGCCCCAGUAAACGGCGGCCGUAACUAUAACGGUCCUAAGGUAGCGAAAUUCCUUGUCGGGUAAGUUCCGACCUGCACGAAUGGCAUAAUGAUGGCGGCGCUGUCUCCAGCAGAGGCUCAGUGAAAUCGAAAUCGCUGUGAAGAUGCAGUGUACCCGCGGCUAGACGGAAAGACCCCGUGAACCUUUACUGCAGCUUGACACUGAACUUUGACCUUACUUGUGUAGGAUAGGUGGGAGGCUUUGAAGCUGGAACGCUAGUUCCAGUGGAGCCGUCCUUGAAAUACCACCCUGGUAAUGUUGAGGUUCUAACUCUGUCCCGUGAUCCGGGACGAGGACCGUGUCUGGUGGGUAGUUUGACUGGGGCGGUCUCCUCCUAAAGAGUAACGGAGGAGUACGAAGGUGCGCUCAGCGUGGUCGGAAAUCACGCGUAGAGUAUAAAGGCAAAAGCGCGCUUAACUGCGAGACCCACAAGUCGAGCAGGUACGAAAGUAGGUCUUAGUGAUCCGGUGGUUCUGUAUGGAAGGGCCAUCGCUCAACGGAUAAAAGGUACUCUGGGGAUAACAGGCUGAUACCGCCCAAGAGUUCAUAUCGACGGCGGUGUUUGGCACCUCGAUGUCGGCUCAUCUCAUCCUGGGGCUGAAGCAGGUCCCAAGGGUAUGGCUGUUCGCCAUUUAAAGAGGUACGCGAGCUGGGUUUAGAACGUCGUGAGACAGUUCGGUCCCUAUCUACCGUGGGCGCUGGAAAUUUGAGAGGAUCUGCUCCUAGUACGAGAGGACCAGAGUGGACGAACCUCUGGUGUACCGGUUGUGACGCCAGUCGCAUCGCCGGGUAGCUAUGUUCGGAAGGGAUAACCGCUGAAAGCAUCUAAGCGGGAAGCCUACCUCAAGAUAAGAUUUCCCUAGGACUUUAUGUCCUCUAAAGAGCCGUUCGAGACUAGGACGUUGAUAGGUUGGAUGUGGAAGCAUAGUGAUAUGUGAAGCUGACCAAUACUAAUUGCUCGUGAGGCUUGACUAUACAACACCCAAGCAGUUG